UACGUAGGUGGCAAGCGUUAUCCGGAAUUACUGGGCGUAAAGCGCACGCAGGCGGUCUUUUAAGUUUGACGUGAAAGCUCCCGGCUUAACUGGGAGAGGUCGUUGAAUACUGGAAGACUUGAGGCAAUGAGGGGGGUGUAGAAUUCCCGGUGUAGUGGUGGAAUGCGUAGAUAUCGGGGGGAAUACCAGUGGCGAAAGCGGCACCCUAGCGUUAGCCUGACGCUCAUGUGCGAAAGCGUGGGGAGCGAACGGG
Molecule: ribosomal RNA, 253 nt
Filed under: uncultured bacterium
Lineage: Bacteria
Description: partial 16S ribosomal RNA
Rfam family: Bacterial small subunit ribosomal RNA
Source: RNAcentral